RNAcentral lists this ribosomal RNA (520 nucleotides) under Candida tropicalis. RNAcentral describes it as "eukaryotic LSU rRNA". It matches the Rfam family "Eukaryotic large subunit ribosomal RNA", at positions 121 to 657 of the family's 3401-position model. The record is from RNAcentral. Lineage: Eukaryota; Fungi; Ascomycota; Pichiomycetes; Serinales; Debaryomycetaceae.
UCUGGCUCUUUCAGAGUCCGAGUUGUAAUUUGAAGAAGGUAUCUUUGGGUCUGGCUCUUGUCUAUGUUUCUUGGAACAGAACGUCACAGAGGGUGAGAAUCCCGUGCGAUGAGAUGAUCCAGGCCUAUGUAAAGUUCCUUCGAAGAGUCGAGUUGUUUGGGAAUGCAGCUCUAAGUGGGUGGUAAAUUCCAUCUAAAGCUAAAUAUUGGCGAGAGACCGAUAGCGAACAAGUACAGUGAUGGAAAGAUGAAAAGAACUUUGAAAAGAGAGUGAAAAAGUACGUGAAAUUGUUGAAAGGGAAGGGCUUGAGAUCAGACUUGGUAUUUUGUAUGUUACUUCUUCGGGGGUGGCCUCUACAGUUUAUCGGGCCAGCAUCAGUUUGGGCGGUAGGAGAAUUGCGUUGGAAUGUGGCACGGCUUCGGUUGUGUGUUAUAGCCUUCGUYGAUACUGCCAGCCUAGACUGAGGACUGCGGUUUAUACCUAGGAUGUUGGCAUAAUGAUCUUAAGUCGCCCGUCUUGA